GAUGAACGCUGGCGGCAUGCCUAACACAUGCAAGUCGAACGAAGGCUUCGGCCUUAGUGGCGCACGGGUGCGUAACGCGUGGGAAUCUGCCCUCAGGUUCGGAAUAACAGCGAGAAAUUGCUGCUAAUACCGGAUGAUAUCGCGAGAUCAAUGAUUUAUCGCCUGAGGAUGAGCCCGCGUAGGAUUAGCUAGUUGGUGUGGUAAAGGCGCACCAAGGCGACGAUCCUUAGCUGGUCUGAGAGGAUGAUCAGCCACACUGGGACUGAGACACGGCCCAGACUCCUACGGGAGGCAGCAGUGGGGAAUAUUGGACAAUGGGCGAAAGCCUGAUCCAGCAAUGCCGCGUGAGUGAUGAAGGCCUUAGGGUUGUAAAGCUCUUUUACCCGGGAUGAUAAUGACAGUACCGGGAGAAUAAGCUCCGGCUAACUCCGUGCCAGCCGCCGCAGUAA
RNAcentral lists this ribosomal RNA (449 nucleotides) under uncultured bacterium. RNAcentral describes it as "partial 16S ribosomal RNA". It matches the Rfam family "Bacterial small subunit ribosomal RNA", at positions 28 to 523 of the family's 1533-position model. The record is from RNAcentral.